This 428-nucleotide ribosomal RNA is filed under the name uncultured bacterium. RNAcentral's name for it is "bacterial SSU rRNA". It matches the Rfam family "Bacterial small subunit ribosomal RNA", at positions 355 to 776 of the family's 1533-position model. The record is from RNAcentral.
UGGGGAAUUUUGGACAAUGGGGGCAACCCUGAUCCAGCAAUGCCGCGUGAGUGAAGAAGGCCUUCGGGCUGUAAAGCUCUUUUGUCAGGGAAGAAACACCGGCUCUAACACAGUCCGGGAAUGACGGUACCUGAAGAAUAAGCACCGACUAACUACGUGCCAGCAGUCGCGGUAAUACGUAGGGUGCAAGCGUUGUUCGGAAUUACUGGGCGUAAAGGAUGCGUAGGCGGUUUUGUAAGUUAGAUGUGUAAUCCCCGGGCUUAACUCGGGAACUGCGUCUAAGACUGCAAGACUAGAGUAUGGUAGAGGAUAGUGGAAUUCUUAGUGUAGGGGUAAAAUCCGUAGAUAUUAAGAGGAACACCAGAAGCGAAGGCGACUAUCUGGGCCAUUACUGACGCUGAGGCAUGAAAGCGUGGGGAGCAAACAGG